Molecule: ribosomal RNA, 253 nt
Filed under: uncultured bacterium
Lineage: Bacteria
Description: partial 16S ribosomal RNA
Rfam family: Bacterial small subunit ribosomal RNA
Source: RNAcentral
UACAGAGGGGGCAAGCGUUGUUCGGAAUUACUGGGCGUAAAGGGCGUGUAGGCGGCCCGCUAAGUCGAACGUGAAAUCCCCGGGCUUAACCCGGGAACUGCGUCCGAUACUGGCAGGCUUGAAUCCGGGAGAGGGAUGUGGAAUUCCAGGUGUAGCGGUGAAAUGCGUAGAUAUCUGGAGGAACACCGGUGGCGAAGGCGGCAUCCUGGACCGGUAUUGACGCUGAGGCGCGAAAGCUAGGGGAGCAAACGGG